GAGUUCCAAGGAAUAGCAACAGCAGCAUGAUAACGUUUGUUCUGCCCAUUGUCUGGUCAUGGUGUAUGGCUGACCCCUACAGGCCAUUUUCAAUAUUGCAGUUUUAUUACUCUGUAUAUGCGCUGUGUUAAUUUAGUUUGGCAACAGGCAACGUGCAGCAACAGUUUCAGUUCAGCUCGCGAACAGCCAUUGCCUUAGAGAAAGAUAUGCUUUUUUACAAAUGAAAAUGAGCAAUCACUGAAGUAAACAUUCUGGAAAGAAUAAACUGCUUCAUGUGUAUUUGUUAGCUAGCUGUCUAGCUUCUUCAUAGCAACGUAGUUCCGAGGACAGCAUAGUAAAAAAGCAUUGAUGCAACAAGCAAGAUUACAAGAGCUGUACUUACUAUGCUGCACAAUCCUGUGAUCUAAUUGAAGAAUUCAGUUUGCAUGAAAGCAAGAUGGAUACAGACAAGGACGCUAAAAUUACCCAGCAGGGUUUAGAGACAUGAUCGCAAGUAUCCGGCUCCAGAUAUUCUUCACGCUCGAGUAGACCAUCUGCCAGUUAAACAGCUAUUUGUGCUAGAGCAAAAGCCGAAGCGGCACGUGCAGAGGUGUCCUACGCUGAAAAAUAGGCAAAAAUGUUGGAAGAGAAAGCAGAAUUGGAAGCGGAAUCAGCGAGACGCAAAGCAGAAUUAGAAGCUUAUUUGGAUGUAUUACAAAAACAAACGGCAGCAGUUGCAGCUUUGGCUGAAGCAGCAGUUUAUGAUGCUGCAGUUGAAUCAGAGGAACCACUUAAGGAUUUCUCAGAAUUAGCUAUUCAAUAUGUAGAACAAAAAAACCAGUGAGUAUGUGGAGACUCAUUCUCUGACUCAAGAUACCCAGGAACAGGUUCACAUGCAGUCUAUGUCUUAAGCAUCACGGCAGCCUCCAGAUUCUACAUACCCUCAGUUUACUCCGGGAGCUCCUAGAUUUCUUCCUCUCCAUCAGAGUAACACAGUUCAAGUCUCAACACCAAAAGUUAGUGUGAGAGACGGCGGAGGCUAUAGUGCUCCACAGCAUUCCACACACUAUGCAAACUCUCCUGAAUCCUCUCUCAGAGACUAUCCAAUGAGACCUUUAGAGACUACUGAUUUAACAAAACAUCUGAUACGAUGGGAUUUAGUGAGUACCGGGCUACUGACGUUCAAUGACUGUCCAGAAAAUUAUUGGGCAUGGAAGACCUCAUUCCAUAGUGUGAUUAGAGACUUCAAUGUAACUGCUAGGGAGGAGUUGGACCUACUCGUAAAAUGGCCCGGGCCAGAAUCUUCACAACAGGCAAAGAGAAUCAGGUCAGUGAAUGUCCAUAAUCCAGCAGUAGGGGUUCAGAUGGCAUGGCAGAGGUUGGAAGAAUGCUAUGGUAGCUUUGAGAUCAUUAAGAAUGCUUUGCUAAAGAAACUGGAGAACUUUCCUAAAAUCUCUAACGAAGACAAAGUGAAGUUGAGAGAGCUUGGAGACCUCUUGUUAGAAAUUGAUGCAGCAAAGUCGGGAGGCCACUUGUCAGGACUGGCUUAUCUAGAUACUGCGUGUGGAGUUAAAUCAAUCAUUGAAAAGCUACCGUACAGUUUGCAAGAUAAGUGGAUUGCUCAAGGCUCCAAGUAUAAGGAAGAUUACCAUGUUUCCUUUCCGCCAUUCAGUUUCUUCACCAGAUUCAUUGUUAGUCAGGCCAAGAUCAAGAAAGAGUUUCACAUUCUCAAUAAGCAAUAACCAAACCUCUGCAAAAGCAGAAAUAUCUGCAGCAAAGUAAAGUAACCGAUCAUCUGUAUCAGUCAGAAAGACAGAUGUGUCAACUGUACAUACAGUCUUUAAUGGGAAAAGCCCUGAAAAGAAACACUGAACCAGAUAGUCAGUGUCAAAUUCAUAACAAACCUCAUCCAUUGACAAAGUGUCGUGAGUUCAGAAGUAGACACAUAGAUGAUUGCAAAAGGUACUUGAAAGGAAAUAGCAUUUGUUUUAGAUGUUGUUCAUUUAUUCAGUGUAUUGCCAAGGACGUAAAGUCAGCAUAAAGUGCAAAGAAUGCAAUAGUUAGGAGCACACCGCAGCACUGCAUCCAGGUCCAGCUCCCUGGGUUACAGAACUGCCUGCGGGAGUGAGCCAGCAGGGCGGGGAGAAGAAAGAGACUAUGUCGACAGCUAUUAUAUCCAAGUGCACAGAAAUCUGUGGAAGCAUGAUAAAGCCCAGAUCAUGUUCUAAAAUCUGCUUGGUGACAGUUUAUCCUUGUGGCAAACCUGAAAGUGCUGUGCGGAUGUACACGGUAUUGGAUGAUCAAAGCAAUCGAUCAUUAGCCAAGUCAAGGUUCUUCAAUGCUUUUGGCAUCACAGAAGAGUAAUUCUCAUAUACCUUAAAAACAUGCUCCGGUAUUAUGGAGAAAACAGGACGCAGAGCAUCUGGCUUCACAGUUCAGUCCAUUGAUGAGAACUUCCUACACUCAUUGAAUGUGAUAUGAUGCCUGAUGAUAGAUCUGAAAUUCCUGAUGUCACACAAUACUUCCCUCAUCUAAAAUCUAUAGCAGACAAGAUUCCUGAAGAUGAUCCCGAUGCUUCAAUACUUCUGUUGUUGGGUAGAGAUAUAUUGAGUGUUCAUAAGGUGAUGACACGUUCAAGCUGCAUUCGGUGCAGCUCAAGCUGGAGGCUGUGGAGAAGCAGAUUUGGGUCCUGGAGCAAGGCAGGCCCAGCUGAGCGAGCGGAGAGCCGUGCUGGAAACUUCUCAGGCUGAUGCUCACAAGUCCAGGGUAAGUAAACAGUGUGCUACUAACAGUCCCACCACCUCCACCCCAUGAGUUUCUCUGCACAGGCCCAGUGCACCCAGGACACGAUCUUCCCAGAUGUCCUUCACUCUGGCGCCGGGACACCACGGACCCUGUGUGCAUCCGCAGCGGAGGACGCGAGCCAGGCCACGGGCGACAACCUCUCCCCCUCCAAUCUUCGAGAUCUCCACACGGAACCGCUUCGCUCCCCUCCGCGAGACAGAACGCGACGCAGUAAUCAUCGGAGUCUCCAUUAUCCGACACGUCCGUGCUACGUUAGCCAAAGGUAACACUUACUGUUUCCCUGGUGCUUGUGUUCUUGAUGUUUCUGCGCAGAUACCCGUGAUCCUGAAGGCCGAUGAGAACCCCGGAGUGGUCGUGCUUCACACCGGGUUAACAACACCACGCAGCGGCAGACGGAGACACUGAAGAGGGACUUCAGGAGCCUGAUCGAGACGGUGCGCAGCACAACGCCCGCAGCGACGAUCAUCGUGUCAGGACCACUGCCCACGUAAUGACGAGGACACAAAAGGCUUUUUCGCGCUGAUGGCCUGCACCCCAGCAGAGUCGGAGCGGAUCUCCUCUCGGACAACAUCUCCAGGACUGUAUGCUCCAUAUGACUAUUAAGCCAAUUCUCAAAUAACUGCUAUGAUGGCUUUUGUUCUACCCGCUUAAAUGUUAGAAGUGCUUGCGCUGUCCAAUCUAUUAAGACUGUCUGUUCCCCGAAUAGUAAGGUCAAAAUAUAAA
Long non-coding RNA from Cyprinus carpio (common carp), 3507 nucleotides. RefSeq lists it as uncharacterized. NCBI's taxonomy places the organism in Eukaryota, Metazoa, Chordata, Actinopteri, Cypriniformes, Cyprinidae. The transcript is spliced from 4 exons. The record is from RefSeq and is a predicted model, not a curated record.